AAGUAAGACCCCUGAAAGAUGAUCAGGUAGAUAGGUUAGAAGUGGCAGUGCGGUGACGCAUGAAGCGGACUAAUACUAAUCGGUCGAGGACUUAACCAAG
RNAcentral lists this ribosomal RNA (100 nucleotides) under Lactiplantibacillus plantarum. Its description in RNAcentral is "Lactobacillus plantarum partial 23S ribosomal RNA". It matches the Rfam family "Bacterial large subunit ribosomal RNA", at positions 2826 to 2925 of the family's 2925-position model. The record is from RNAcentral. Lineage: Bacteria; Bacillati; Bacillota; Bacilli; Lactobacillales; Lactobacillaceae.